AUUGAACGCUGGCGGCAGGCCUAACACAUGCAAGUCGAACGGUAACAGGAAGCAGCUUGCUGCUUUGCUGACGAGUGGCGGACGGGUGAGUAAUGUCUGGAAAACUGCCCGAUGGAGGGGGAUAACUACUGGAAACGGUAGCUAAUACCGCAUAACGUCGCAAGCCCAAAGAGGGGGAGCUAAGGGCCUCUUGCCAUCGGGUGUGCCCAGAUGGGAUUAGCUAGUCGGUGGGGUAACGGCUCACCUAGGCGACGAUCCAUAGCGGGUCUGAGAGGCUGACCGGCCACACUGGAACUGAGCCACGGUCCAGACUCCUACGGGAGGCAGCAGUGGGGAAUCUUGCACAAUGGGCGCAAGCCUGAUGCAGCCAUGCCGCGUGUAUGAAGAAGGCCUUCGGGUUGUAAAGUACUUUCAGCGGGGAGGAAGGGAGUAAAGUUAAUCCCUUUGCUCAUUGACGUUACCCGCAGAAGAAGCACCGGCUAACUACGUG
Molecule: ribosomal RNA, 490 nt
Filed under: uncultured bacterium
Lineage: Bacteria
Description: partial 16S ribosomal RNA
Rfam family: Bacterial small subunit ribosomal RNA
Source: RNAcentral